UAGAAAUACUAGUAAUAGUAGGGGCGGAUGU
RNAcentral lists this transfer RNA (31 nucleotides) under Myrcia amazonica. Its description in RNAcentral is "partial tRNA-His". Lineage: Eukaryota; Viridiplantae; Streptophyta; Magnoliopsida; Myrtales; Myrtaceae. The record is from RNAcentral.